CAGUCGAACGAACUCUGGUAUUGAUUGGUGCUUGCAUCAUGAUUUACAUUUGAGUGAGUGGCGAACUGGUGAGUAACACGUGGGAAACCUGCCCAGAAGCGGGGGAUAACACCUGGAAACAGAUGCUAAUACCGCAUAACAACUUGGACCGCAUGGUCCGAGCUUGAAAGAUGGCUUCGGCUAUCACUUUUGGAUGGUCCCGCGGCGUAUUAGCUAGAUGGUGGGGUAACGGCUCACCAUGGCAAUGAUACGUAGCCGACCUGAGAGGGUAAUCGGCCACAUUGGGACUGAGACACGGCCCAAACUCCUACGGGAGGCAGCAGUAGGGAAUCUUCCACAAUGGACGAAAGUCUGAUGGAGCAACGCCGCGUGAGUGAAGAAGGGUUUCGGCUCGUAAAACUCUGUUGUUAAAGAAGAACAUAUCUGAGAGUAACUGUUCAGGUAUUGACGGUAUUUAACCAGAAAGCCACGGCUAACUACGUGCCAGCAGCCGCGGUAAUACGUAGGUGGCAAGCGUUGUCCGGAUUUAUUGGGCGUAAAGCGAGCGCAGGCGGUUUUUUAAGUCUGAUGUGAAAGCCUUCGGCUCAACCGAAGAAGUGCAUCGGAAACUGGGAAACUUGAGUGCAGAAGAGGACAGUGGAACUCCAUGUGUAGCGGUGAAAUGCGUAGAUAUAUGGAAGAACACCAGUGGCGAAGGCGGCUGUCUGGUCUGUAACUGACGCUGAGGCUCGAAAGUAUGGGUAGCAAACAGGAUUAGAUACCCUGGUAGUCCAUACCGUAAACGAUGAAUGCUAAGUGUUGGAGGGUUUCCGCCCUUCAGUGCUGCAGCUAACGCAUUAAGCAUUCCGCCUGGGGAGUACGGCCGCAAGGCUGAAACUCAAAGGAAUUGACGGGGGCCCGCACAAGCGGUGGAGCAUGUGGUUUAAUUCGAAGCUACGCGAAGAACCUUACCAGGUCUUGACAUACUAUGCAAAUCUAAGAGAUUAGACGUUCCCUUCGGGGACAUGGAUACAGGUGGUGCAUGGUUGUCGUCAGCUCGUGUCGUGAGAUGUUGGGUUAAGUCCCGCAACGAGCGCAACCCUUAUUAUCAGUUGCCAGCAUUAAGUUGGGCACUCUGGUGAGACUGCCGGUGACAAACCGGAGGAAGGUGGGGAUGACGUCAAAUCAUCAUGCCCCUUAUGACCUGGGCUACACACGUGCUACAAUGGAUGGUACAACGAGUUGCGAACUCGCGAGAGUAAGCUAAUCUCUUAAAGCCAUUCUCAGUUCGGAUUGUAGGCUGCAACUCGCCUACAUGAAGUCGGAAUCGCUAGUAAUCGCGGAUCAGCAUGCCGCGGUGAAUACGUUCCCGGGCCUUGUACACACCGCCCGUCACACCAUGAGAGUUUGUAACACCCAAAGUCGGUGGGGUAACCUUUUAGAACCAGC
Molecule: ribosomal RNA, 1428 nt
Filed under: Lactiplantibacillus plantarum
Lineage: Bacteria; Bacillati; Bacillota; Bacilli; Lactobacillales; Lactobacillaceae
Description: bacterial SSU rRNA
Rfam family: Bacterial small subunit ribosomal RNA
Source: RNAcentral